UGGGUAACCUGCCUCAAAGAGGGGAAUAGCCUCCCGAAAGGGAGAUUAAUACCGCAUAAUAUGUUUAAGUCGCCAUGACUUUAACAUCAAAGGAUUUUCUUUUAGAAAUUCCACUUUGAGAUGGACCCGCGGCGCAUUAGCUAGUUGGUGAGGUAACGGCUCACCAAGGCAACGAUGCGUAGCCGACCUGAGAGGGUGAUCGGCCACAUUGGAACUGAGACACGGCCCAGACUCCGUAGGAGG
This 243-nucleotide ribosomal RNA is filed under the name uncultured bacterium. Its description in RNAcentral is "partial 16S ribosomal RNA". It matches the Rfam family "Bacterial small subunit ribosomal RNA", at positions 118 to 348 of the family's 1533-position model. The record is from RNAcentral.